UUGGAGUGUUCUGCUUCCUACUGA
RNAcentral lists this microRNA (24 nucleotides) under Eptesicus fuscus (big brown bat). Its description in RNAcentral is "efu-miR-9354". The record is from miRBase by way of RNAcentral. Lineage: Eukaryota; Metazoa; Chordata; Mammalia; Chiroptera; Vespertilionidae.